Molecule: non-coding RNA, 123 nt
Organism: Picea glauca (white spruce)
Lineage: Eukaryota; Viridiplantae; Streptophyta; Pinopsida; Pinales; Pinaceae
Source: Rfam
AUGUACAUUCCUACAUCAUAGUGUUAAUUCACCAGAUCCCAUUAGAACUCUACAGUUAAGCAUGCUCAAUCUAGGGUAGUAUUGGGAUGGGUGAUCACCCGGGAAGUCCUAUUAUUUUACAUG